UACUACAGAAAAUGACUGAGCGGCGAACGGGUGAGUAACGCGUGAGCAAUCUACCUUAGUUACAGGGAUAGCCCGAGGAAACUCGGAUUAAUACCUGAUAUUCUUUACAUUUCGCAUGAAAUCAAAAGGAAAGGUCAGCCGAACUAAGAUGAGCUCGCGUUCUAUCAGCUAGUUGGUGAGGUAAAAGCUCACCAAGGCAACGACGGAUAGCUGGUCUGAGAGGACGAUCAGCCACACUGGGACUGAGACACGGCCCAGACUCCUACGGGAGGCUGCAGCAGGGAAUAUUGCGCAAUGAGCGAAAGCUUGACGCAGCGACACCGCGUGUGGGAUGACGGAUCUAGGUUUGUAAACCACUUUCAGGAGGGAAGAAAAUGACGGUACCUCCACAAGAAGCCCCGGCCAACUACGUGCCAGCAGCCGCGGUAAUACGUAGGGGGCGAGCGUUGUCCGGAUUUAUUGGGCGUAAAGAGCUCGUAGGCGGUUCAACAAGUCGGUCGUGAAAGUUCAGGGCUCAACCCUGAAAUGUCGAUCGAUACUGUUGUGACUAGGAUACGGUAGAGGUGAGUGGAAUUCCGAGUGUAGCG
RNAcentral lists this ribosomal RNA (587 nucleotides) under uncultured bacterium. Its description in RNAcentral is "bacterial SSU rRNA". It matches the Rfam family "Bacterial small subunit ribosomal RNA", at positions 76 to 680 of the family's 1533-position model. The record is from RNAcentral.